CUCAUAGCGUAUAUUAAGUUGUUGCAGUUAAAACGCUCGUAGUCGGAUUUCGGGGCGGGCUGCUCGGUCUGCCGAUGGGUAUGCACUGGGCGGCGCGUCCUUCCUUCCGGAGACCGCGCCUUCUCUUAACUGAGCGGGCGCGGGAGACGGAACGUUUACUUUGAAAAAAUCAGAGUGUUUCAAGCAGGCAUCUCGCUCUUGCAUGGAUUAGCAUGGGAUAAUGAAAUAGGACUUUGGUGCUAUUUUGUUGGUUUCGAACACCGAAGUAAUGAUUAACAGAGACAGUCAGGGGCACUCGUAUUCCGUCGAGAGAGGUGAAAUUCUCAGACCAACGGAAGACGAACCACUGCGAAAGCAUUUGCCAGGGAUGUUUUCACUGAUCAAGAACGAAAGUUAGGGGAUCGAAGACGAUCAGAUACCGUCGUAGUCUUAACCAUAAACCAUGCCGACUAGGGAUUCGAGGGUGUUCCAUCUGUGACCCCUUGAGCACCUUUCGGGAAACUAAAGUCUUUGGGUUCCGGGGGGAGUAUGGUCGCAAGGCUGAAACUUAAAGGAAUUGACGGAAGGGCACCACCAGGAGUGGAGCCUGCGGCUUAAUUUGACUCAACACGGGGAAACUUACCAGGUCCAGACAUUGUGAGGAUUGACAGAUUGAGAGCUCUUUCUUGAUUCAAUGGGUGGUGGUGCAUGGCCGUUCU
RNAcentral lists this ribosomal RNA (698 nucleotides) under uncultured eukaryote. RNAcentral's name for it is "SSU rRNA". It matches the Rfam family "Eukaryotic small subunit ribosomal RNA", at positions 591 to 1294 of the family's 1831-position model. The record is from RNAcentral.